Molecule: ribosomal RNA, 478 nt
Filed under: uncultured bacterium
Lineage: Bacteria
Description: partial 16S ribosomal RNA
Rfam family: Bacterial small subunit ribosomal RNA
Source: RNAcentral
AACAAACGCUGGCGGCGUGCCUAAUACAUGCAAGUCGAACGAGGAAAGCUUUCGGGUGAGUACUAGUGGCGCACGGGUGAGGAAUACAUGGGUAAUCUGCCCUCGAGUUGGGGAUAACCAGUCGAAAGAUUGGCUAAUACCGGAUAAGACCACAGGAUCUGCGGAUCUAGGGGUUAAAGGUUUUUCGCUUGAGGAUGAGCCCAUGCGGGAUUAGCUAGUUGGUGGGGUAAUGGCCUACCAAGGCUACGAUCCCUAACUGGUCUUAGAGGAUGAUCAGUCACACUGGAACUGAGACACGGUCCAGACUCCUACGGGAGGCAGCAGUAGGGAAUAUUGCCCAAUGGGGGAAACCCUGAUGCAGCGACGCCGCGUGAGUUAUGAAGGCCUUCGGGUCGUAAAGCUCUGUCGUAUGGGACUAACACAAUGAAGGUACCAUGCAAGAAAGGAUCGGCUAACUUCGUGCCAGCAGCCGCGGUAA